CCCUUAGAUGUCCGGGGCUGCACGCGCGCUAUACUGAAGGAAUCAGCGUGCUAAAACCAUUGUCGAAAGGCAUUGGUAAACCCAUUAAAAUCCUACGUGAUUGGGAUCGGGAAUUGCAAUUAUUUCCCUUGAACGAGGAAUUCCCAGUAAGUGUGGGUCAUAAGCUCGCGUUGAUUACGUCCCUGCCCUUUGUACACACCGCCCGUCGCUGCCCGGGACUGAGCCGUUUCGAGAAAAGCGGGGACUGCUGCUGUCGGGGCUUUCGGGCCUUGGCUUCGGUGGAAACCGCUUUAAUCGCAGUGGCUUGAACCGGGCAAAAGUCGUAACA
RNAcentral lists this ribosomal RNA (328 nucleotides) under uncultured eukaryote. Its description in RNAcentral is "partial 18S ribosomal RNA". It matches the Rfam family "Eukaryotic small subunit ribosomal RNA", at positions 1470 to 1796 of the family's 1831-position model. The record is from RNAcentral.